GUCGACUUAGCCAAGUGGUUCAAGGCGUUGGUCUUGAAAACCAAUGGGCUCCGCCCGCGUAGGUUCGAAUCCUGCAGUCGACG
RNAcentral lists this transfer RNA (83 nucleotides) under Pseudozyma flocculosa PF-1. RNAcentral's name for it is "tRNA-Ser (TGA) (tRNA-Ser-TGA-1-1)". It matches the Rfam family "tRNA". From Rfam's summary of the family: Transfer RNA (tRNA) molecules are approximately 80 nucleotides in length. Lineage: Eukaryota; Fungi; Basidiomycota; Ustilaginomycetes; Ustilaginales; Ustilaginaceae. The record is from RNAcentral.